RNAcentral lists this ribosomal RNA (421 nucleotides) under uncultured Gemmatimonadota bacterium. RNAcentral's name for it is "bacterial SSU rRNA". It matches the Rfam family "Bacterial small subunit ribosomal RNA", at positions 930 to 1484 of the family's 1533-position model. Lineage: Bacteria; Pseudomonadati; Gemmatimonadota. The record is from RNAcentral.
CGGUGGAGCAUGUGGUUUAAUUCGACGCAACGCGAAGAACCUUACCUGGGCUUGACAUGGCGCGGAAAGCCCCUGGAAACAGGCCCUCGCUACAGGUGUGACGAGCGCAACCCUCGCCUCUAGUUACCAGCGGGACGUCAAGUAUCAUGGUCCUUACGCCCAGGCCACAUACAUGGCACCGACAAGGGCCGCGAGCCGGCAACGGCGAGCCUCCCCAAACGGUGCCUCAGUUCGGAUUGUCCUGCAACUCGAGGGCAUGAAGCUGGAAUCGCUAGUAAUCGGGAUCAGCUACGCCACGGUGAAUACGUUCCCGGGCCUUGUACACACCGCCGCCACGCCAUGGAAGCUGUGAGCGCCCGAAGUCCGCGCCGGAACCCGCGAGGGGCCAAGCGGCCGAAGCGAACGCAAUGACUGGGGCGAA